RNAcentral lists this long non-coding RNA (1081 nucleotides) under Ananas comosus (pineapple). Its description in RNAcentral is "long non-coding RNA (ACOM_LNC037056)". Lineage: Eukaryota; Viridiplantae; Streptophyta; Magnoliopsida; Poales; Bromeliaceae. The record is from RNAcentral.
CUAGUAUACUCUUAUUAAUAGUAUAAAAAUAAGGAUACCUUUUACCCAACAAUAGUUAGGUAUUCCUCACCUAGAAAUUUACAAUAAUUUCAUUACUUUACUAACACCUUUUACAACUGUCGAGCUUAAGUUGAAAGAUAAUAGUUUAUAUAUUUUUAAUAGAAUAUAUAAAAGGCUAUCGGAAUAUUACAUAAAGUGGACCAAAUAGACCUUUAGUGUAGUUAACAAAUACAGUAUGAUUACCGACCGUUCCCAGCGCAAGUGGCAAAAGGCUUGAUGGUUGGUACCCGAGGUUCCAAGUUCGAAUUCUAGUUGAUUCAUAUUUCUAGCUAAGUUUAUUUUUAAAUAAAAUAAACGAAGCGGGUAGCAUGCUACCUAUCUCUCAAACAAAAAAAAUAGUUAAUUCGUAACAACAAUAUCAAGAAUAGUGUGAUGGUGGCUGUGGUGGCAAUGAAACAACAAUGGUGCACUAACAACAACAGCCAUAGCCACGACAAGGAUUAGAUGAUGCAUAGCGCAAUAACCUGUGCGAUGCAACGGAAAAUAAUUGAAGAAAACAUAGAAAACUUUGAUAAAAAAAGUGAUGAUGAGGGUGGGAUUCAUCUUGCCGAUAAACAAAAAUAACAGCCAAAGGAAGAGAAAGAUGAAGGACUUGAGCUUGUUCGGGGUGGAGUCCACUCUCAACCAUGAAAGAAAAUUUGUCAUGUGGCAAUUUUAAGAGAAAUAAUGUAGACGAAGAGAUGAGGAAGGGAAAUUAAGGAAGAGAGAAAAAAAAUGGUAUGAUAAUUAUAAGGAUUGCUUUGUUGUAUGUAGUUGCAACUAUAUUGCAAGUUGUAGUUAAAUCAAAUGCGUUUGAAUUAACUACUACGGUUGGAACUACAUGAUGAGGUUCAAGUGCAAAAGUUAAAACUACGUCCAAAUUUGCUGCAAUUCUAGUUGCAGUAGUUGGUAAUAGGAAAUCUUACCUCCAUAAUCACUUUUUAAACAAAUAUAUAUAUAUAUAUAUAUAUAUAUAUAUAUAUAUAUAUAUAUAUAUAUAUAUAUAUAUAUAUGAGAGAGAGAGAGAGAGAGAGAGAGAGAG